This 273-nucleotide ribosomal RNA is filed under the name uncultured bacterium. RNAcentral describes it as "partial 16S ribosomal RNA". It matches the Rfam family "Bacterial small subunit ribosomal RNA", at positions 523 to 796 of the family's 1533-position model. The record is from RNAcentral.
CUACGGAGGGUGCGAGCGUUAAUCGGAAUUACUGGGCGUAAAGCGUACGUAGGCGGUUUGCUAAGUCAGAUGUGAAAGCCCGGGCUUAACCUGGGAACUGCAUUUGAUACUGGCAGACUAGAGUAUGAUAGAGGGGGGUAGAAUUCCUGGUGUAGCGGUGAAAUGCGUAGAUAUCAGGAGGAAUACCAGUGGCGAAGGCGGCCCCCUGGAUCAAUACUGACGCUGAGGUACGAAAGCGUGGGGAGCGAACAGGAUUAGAAACCCGAGUAGUCC